Small nuclear RNA from Protopterus annectens (West African lungfish), 165 nucleotides. RefSeq annotates it as U1 spliceosomal RNA. The record is from RefSeq and is a predicted model, not a curated record. NCBI's taxonomy places the organism in Eukaryota, Metazoa, Chordata, Ceratodontiformes, Protopteridae. The transcript has a single exon.
AUACUUACCUGGCAGGGGAGAGACCACAAUCAAGAAGGUGGUUCUCCCAGGGUGAGGCUUUUUCCUUUGCACUUUGGAGGGAUUGACUCCUGUGAUUACCCCAAAUGUGGGAAACUCAUCUGCAUAAUUUAUGGUAGUAGGGGACUGCAGUUGUGCUGUCCCCUG